Molecule: ribosomal RNA, 450 nt
Filed under: uncultured bacterium
Lineage: Bacteria
Description: partial 16S ribosomal RNA
Rfam family: Bacterial small subunit ribosomal RNA
Source: RNAcentral
GCUAAGAAUAUUCCGCAAUGGACGAAAGUCUGACGGAGCGACGCCGCGUGGAUGAGGAAGGCCGAAAGGUUGUAAAGUCCUUUUGUCGAUGAAGAAUAAGUGGUGGAGGGAAUGCCAUCAUGAUGACGUUAGUCGGCGAAUAAGCCCCGGCUAAUUACGUGCCAGCAGCCGCGGUAACACGUAAGGGGCAAGCGUUGUUCGGAAUUAUUGGGCGUAAAGGGUACGUAGGCGGUUAUGUAAGCCCGGCGUGAAAUCCUGCAGCUUAACUGUAGAGCUGCGCUGGGAACUGCGUAACUUGAGUCAUGGAAGGGAAGUUAGAAUUCCAGGUGUAGGGGUGAAAUCUGUAGAUAUCUGGAAGAAUACCGGUGGCGAAGGCGAACUUCUGGCCAAUGACUGACGCUGAGGUACGAAAGUGCGGGGAGCAAACAGGAUUAGAAACCCGUGUAGUCC